GCCCGGUUAGCUCAAUCGGUAGAGCGUGAGACUCUUACAAAUGCGCGAAAUCUCAAGGUUGCGGGUUCGACCCCCGCAUCGGGCU
Non-coding RNA from Claviceps sp. LM454 group G7, 85 nucleotides. Lineage: Eukaryota; Fungi; Ascomycota; Sordariomycetes; Hypocreales; Clavicipitaceae. The record is from the annotation of a GenBank genome assembly.